Molecule: long non-coding RNA, 418 nt
Filed under: Rattus norvegicus (Norway rat)
Lineage: Eukaryota; Metazoa; Chordata; Mammalia; Rodentia; Muridae
Description: long non-coding RNA NONRATT034120
Source: RNAcentral
CGGGGCUCAAGUUUGCUCGUGGGGUGCUGCCCACGGGCUCUCUGCAGCGGCAGCAACCAGGAAGACCGAAAUGGCAGUUUCUCUUCUCAUCCUGGACAGGCACCGGGUGCCGGGAAAGGAAAGCAGAUGGGAAAGUUAGAAGAAUCCUCCCGUGCCUGCAGCCUUUCUUCUGGCCUCUAACCUAAAGAAAACAACCCUUGAGCCUAAGAAACUGGUCCCACUUCAUGCCUACCUGUGCCCUCCCUACCUUUAUGAAGACAUCUGGGAGAAUCUUCACAUCUAUUGCCAUCAGGGAAGGCAUACCGGAGCUGGGAGUCUGUGUGACUUUUCUUAAAUUAAGUGAGUGUGAAAAGAAGAGGGUUAAGGUCCAGUUUGAAUCAAACACUUCCUAUGUGAGAGUCCUGUGGAUUUCAUGAUG